UACGGAGGGUGCAAGCGUUAAUCGGAUUUACUGGGCGUAAAGAGCGCGCAGGCGGUCGUUCAAGUCGAGUGUGAAAGCCCCCGGCUCAACUGGGGAGGGUCACUCGAUACUGAUCGACUCGAAGGCAGGAGAGGGAAGCGGAAUUCCCGGUGUAGUGGUGAAAUGCGUAGAUAUCGGGAGGAACACCAGUGGCGAAGGCGGCUUUCUGGCCUGUUCUUGACGCUGAGGCGCGAAAGCUAGGGUAGCAAACGGG
This 253-nucleotide ribosomal RNA is filed under the name uncultured bacterium. Its description in RNAcentral is "partial 16S ribosomal RNA". It matches the Rfam family "Bacterial small subunit ribosomal RNA", at positions 524 to 776 of the family's 1533-position model. The record is from RNAcentral.